This 301-nucleotide ribosomal RNA is filed under the name uncultured bacterium. RNAcentral's name for it is "partial 16S ribosomal RNA". It matches the Rfam family "Bacterial small subunit ribosomal RNA", at positions 509 to 809 of the family's 1533-position model. The record is from RNAcentral.
CAGCCGCCGCGGGAAAACGUAGGUGGCAAGCGUUGUCCGGAAUUAUUGGGCGUAAAGGGCUCGCAGGCGGUUUCUUAAGUCUGAUGUGAAAGCCCCCGGCUCAACCGGGGAGGGUCAUUGGAAACUGGGAAACUUGAGUGCAGAAGAGGAGAGUGGAAUUCCACGUGUAGCGGUGAAAUGCGUAGAGAUGUGGAGGAACACCAGUGGCGAAGGCGACUCUCUGGUCUGUAACUGACGCUGAGGAGCGAAAGCGUGGGGAGCGAACAGGAUUAGAUACCCCGGUAGUCCCUGUCUCUUAUAU